CCCUCUUCAUCCCGCCUCUUCGCUCCCUUCCGCCCCGCCCCGGACCGUCGCCCCCUCCCCCAGUCCUCUCCCGUCCCUUCCCCCUUUGCUCCCGCCCAUCCCACCCGGAGCCUCGUCCCCUCGCUCCCUUCACCUUUGCCUGUCGCUGUCCCCACUUCUUUCCCCGCGGUUCUCCCGCUCCUGAUGUGUUGUUUACCCUCCCCGCUCCUUCUCGUCGGCUGCUUCCCACUCUUAACUCCCAGUCUCGUUUCAACUCUCUUGCCGCCCCGCACCUGAGGGCUUCCCGUGCAGUGUCCUGAAGGAGCUGACAGUAGUUUUGGGAGACGCUGAGCAAGUCAUCGUCUGGGCUAGUGUGUCCCAUCCGAGGUCUCUGCAAAAGGGACUGGCCGUUGGCGCCUCUCUCUGCAAGGAAGGCGACAGAAGUUGUGUCAGUGAGGCCUUGACUUUGGGCUAGAAGCUGACUUUGGGCAAAAGUGUUGUUAGAAAUAUCAGCCGCCUUGUCUACACGUGUAUGUUUCUUCUCCCCCUGCCCCCCGCCCCCCGGCCCCGUAUUGCAGAUUCCUGGAUUUUGAAUGAGGGACUGAGAUGAUCAGCGAGCUGAUGGUCCAGAGAUGGUUCUUGUUGGAAAGCUGCAACUUCUCGAGGGUUUAUUUCAUGUUUAGUAUUUUGUGAGAUUGGGUUGUAGUUUGGAAGGAACUGAAGGGGCUUCACUGAUAGGAACAUUGCCUUGCAUAAUCUGCGAGAUAAAGUAGGAGUCUAUCCAGGGAGGAGCUAUUGUGGGCUCUCGGGAGAAUGAAAGCGAGGCUGAUACUUUACAGGGCAUGCUGAGUUGUAAGUAGGUUUUCAGUGGCUGUUCUUAAAACUUGCAAGGCAGCCGCCAGUUUCAGGAGGAAUUGGGAAGACCAUGAGGGGUUGUGUCUGUCUCUUACAAGAUGAUCCUGUACCCUUAGGAGAUUUGAGUAUGGUCUUGGUUUUUGAAACACUUGAAGGUAGAAUGCUGUCCAUUGUGUCACUUUUUUUUUUUUUUUUUUGGUAACAUGUAUUUCUUUGGUCCUGAAAAAGAAAAAGGAGGGGAGAAAUCUGUCCAACACCAUCGUGUGCUGGGAUAGGCUACUUCGCUGGAGUGGCACUGGCUGUGCAAAGAGCCAACAGGGUUCCAUUGGGUUGGGUUCUAGUGAGGGCUGUGUUUGCUGCCAGUUCUGUGACCUUGGGGAAAUCUUUUAACCUCUCUGGGCUUCAGUUUCACCCCUUGUUUAUUCAACACGUGUUAAUUGAGAACCAGCUAUAUGUCUGGAGGCUCUGAGAUGAACGAAACUCAGGAAGCUUCUGCCCUCACGGAGUUUCUGUUUAGUUGGAAGGCAACUGAUCAGCAAAUGAAACCAUAUAAUAUAAUGGCCUAUUGUGGGAACUGCUGAGAGGAGAAAUCCAUCAGGGUACAAGAAUAGAGUGGUGGAGAAUGCUGCUUUAGGUCGGCGCUUUAGGUGAGGCCUCUGGGAGGUGAGAGAUGAGUGGUUGAAUGAAGUCAGGAAUGACACAUAGUUUCUGUAAUUCCUUGUCAGUCUAUAUGUCUAUGGUUAUGUGUUUAUAUGUUUUGGCUGUGUUUUCAUCCCUACUGGCAUGUUGCUUUAAAAGCUGGUCUGUUGGUAUUUGUAAGUUUUCUCAUGGUUAUGGCCAUGUCUCUGUGGUACCCAACACAUUCGAAUGUUUAUGCAUUUACCUUUUUCGCUGUGUAUUCUAUAAAUGAGCUUGUGGAUUUCAGGCUUCAAAGAAGUAUUAAAGACUAGGUGUGACUUUCUUUAAAACAAACAUUUUUCAUUUUUUUUUUUUUGAGAGACACAGAGACAAAUCUUCCAUCUGCUGGUUCACUCUCCAAGUGCCUACAAUAGCCAGGGCUGGACCAGACUGAAGCCAGUAUCCCAGAACUCAAUCCCAGUCUUCAGCAUGAGUGGCAGGCACCCAAGUACUUGAGCCAAGUACUCACAAGGGUCUGCAUGAGCAGGAAGCUGAGACCAAGAGCUGGAGCCAGGAAUUGAACCCAGGCCCUCUGAUGUGAGACAUGUUUAUCUUAACUGGCAUUUUAACUGCUAGGCUAAAUGCCAUCCCUUGAACACUACCUUUUUUUUUUUUUUUUUUUUUUUUUACAGGCAGAGUGGACAGUGAGAGAGAGACAGAGAGAAAGGUCUUCCUUUGCUGUUGGUUCACCCUCCAAUGGCGCACCGCGCUGAUCCGUAGCCAGGAGCCAGGUACUUCUCCUGGUCUCCCAUGGGGUGCAGGGCCCAAGUACUUGGGCCAUCCUCCACUGCACUCCCUGGCCACAGCAGAGAGCUGGCCUGGAAGAGGGGCAACCAGGACAGAAUCCGGCGCCCCGACCGGGACUAGAACCUGGUGUGCCGGCGCCGCAAGGUGGAGGAUUAGCCUAUUGAGCCGCGGCGCCGGCCCCCUGAACACUACUUUUUUAAAAUAGUAUCUUUCGAUUUGUUCUCAAAUUAGGCUUACCCAGAGAAGUUUAAAAAAUGAGUUGUAUAUUAUCUGAAUAGAGUAAGUGUUAUGUAUUUUGGGGAAACAGGUUUUAUGAUAAUCUGUGAUCUUUGUCCCCCUUAGUGUAAUUGAAAAAAAUUAUUCAUUUCUUUAACAUUGGAUUGUUAAAUUUGAACGUUUCUCUUCAUGUCCUUGAAAACAGUAGGAAGUAAGAGUUGAGUAAAUUGUGGUGAAAUAUGGAUCAGUUGAUGCUCUUUUUAAUUUUUAUAUCUCUACUCAAGUCAUUAAAACCAAAGUCAACAAAAUGCCUUCAAGAUUAAGUCUAACUCGUCCCUUCAGGAACCUGUCAAUCCUGCUCCUUCCUAGUUGCCAGUCAGAGUUGUGAAAGGCAGUUCCAGCUCUCACAGUAGUCUGCCUUGGCCACUUUCCUCCUCCUUCAGAUCUUGGGGCAAGGAAACAGCCACAUUGUACCAAAAACUUCCUUGUCAUUUACUAUGGUACUUGAAAAAGUUUGUUGAAAAUAGAAUGAAAUUAAUUUUAUUUUGUGCAAAAUAAUUUUGAAACGAUAUAUAUAAGGGAUUUUAGAAAAUGCACACUAUGAAAAAAUGCAUGGAUUUAAAAAAAUUUUUGCACCAAAAUAAGCUUUUUUAAAAUCCCAUUUCCCUUUCACUUUCUGAAGUACUCUUGUGAUUUUUGGAUACCCAUCUAAUUAAUGGACUCUCUUUGUACUUUUGAUAAUGCUUGCCUGUCUACCCCUGUCCCCCACCUCAGAUCCAGAUGAGAAUAGGCAAUUCAUAGGAAAGAAAAAGUAAGAUUAGGAUUAUUAUCGUGUUUUACAUUUGUGAAAGGGAUUGAAAAUAUUUUCUGGAUGUGAGACAUGUUCUAGAUGACCUAAAAGAAACAUGCAGUCUAGUUAGUAUGAUAGAACGUCCUCAUGUGGAAGAAUCAGAAUAUUUGCCAUGGGAAAGAGUUAAUUUUCUUAGAAAAGCAUGAGAGAGAAGAGCUAGGAGUGAAUGUGGAGGACAGCAGGAACUUUGUGAGGUCAUGAGAACUGAAGGCUUAAUGUUUGAAAAUGAGUGACUUAGGGAAUAGUAUGUAAGUAAAAAAUUGAAAGCGAUCGGUCCUAGAUUUUGGUGGUGUAUUUGUGGAGUGAAGAAGGGUCUGAUACUUACCUGGAAAUGCUAGAGUUGUGUGAAUAAGGGCGAUAAGAUCGAGUAGCUCAGGGCAUGUGGUGAGGAGGCCAUAUACUGGCGUGUUCAGGAAUUUGGGUUUUGGCAUUAGUAGUUUGUGUUUUCAUUCAGCAAAUAUUUUUCAAGUACACACCUCAUGCCAGGUUUUGUUCUAGGCACUGGGGAUAAAACAGUGGGGGAGAAACAGAUUUUAACCUUGUGAGGUUUAAAUUGGGGGGGCAGAUAGACAAAGAUAACUGAAUAGGUAAAGUGUUGGAAGAUAGUAAAUGCUCUGAUAGAGUAAGGGGGAAUGACAUGCUGGAGAGAGUGGAAUGGGGAAGAAAGGCUUCACUUAUAGGUGCCCUUUGAGCUCAGACCUGAAAAGGUGAUAUUUGAGGAAGGGAAAGAGCAUUCUUGACAGGGAGCGGCUGGAGGAAGGAAGCUUACUUCCACAGUUUGAGGAAGAGCAGGGGUCAAAUGUUACUGGAGUGGAGGAAGAGAGUGGAAGAAAUGAUGUCAGAGAAAUACUGAGUCUUGUCCAUUGUGAGGACUUUGGAUUUUAGCCAGCAAGGCAGGUAGUCAUUGGAAUAUUUUGACAGAGGAGUCAUAUCAUUUUGAUCUUUUUAAGAUUUUUAUUUACUUGAAAGGCAGAGUGAUAGAGAAGGGAAAAGAGAGAAGAGAGAUUUUCCAUCAAAUGGUUUACUUCCCAGAUGCCCACGAAAACUAGGACAGGGCAAGGUUGAAGCCAGAAGCCAGUAAUUCCAUCUGGGUCUCCCAUGCAGGAUCCCAAGUGCUUGGGCCAUCAUCUGCUGCCUCCCAGAUGCAUUGGUAGGAAGCAGAAUAACCAGGACAAGAAUUGGCACUCCAGUAUGGGAUCCUGAGUGUCCCACGUGUUGGCUUAACCUGCUGUGGCACAGUGUCCUCCCUGGUAUCAUUUUGAAAGGGAGCCUUUAAAAGGAUUCAUAGUGGACUUGGAGGGAAGACAAGGGUUGAAAAAGAAGAGUAGUUAGGAGACUGUUUUAAUUAAUUCAGAAUGGGGAUGAACUAGAGAGGUAGCCAUGAGAUAUGUGAACAUAUAUUUUAAUAUUCAAAAUGUAAUGAAUUCUGAAUCCAGUUUUGAGGUAUAAUCAGCAAAGUGUGUUAAGAGUUAGUGAGAUUUCAUAAGAUGGCUUAUGAAUAUUUAUUUGAAAAGCAGAGCAACAGGGAGAAGGAAAGGGAGAGAGAGAGAGAGAGAGAAAGAAAGAAAGGAAGGUAUCUUCCAUCUGUAGGUUUACUCCCCAAGUGGCCACAACAGCCAAAUCUGGGCCAGACCAAAGGCAGGAGUCCAAAACUCCGUCCUGGUCUUUUAUGUGCGUGUCAGGUACCCAAGUACUUGGGCCAUAAUCUGCUGCCUCUCAGGGCACUGGAAUGAAGCUGAUUCGGAAGUGGAGGCAGGACUCAAUCCCAGGCACUCAGAUACAGCAUGUGGGCAUCCCAAGCUACAACUUAACCUGCUGCUUCGCAAUGCCCUCCUUAACUGCAGCCUUUAAAUUUGCAGCAGGUGAAUCCCAUUGUGGUAUGAUUUUGUGAGCAGGUUCAUGUUUUCAUUGUGUGCAUAUCCUUGAUACUUUCAUAAUGUUUAAUUAUAUUUUGGAAAGUUUAUAUCCUAUUAUUUGUCAUUAAUUCUGUGUUUUUCAGUGUUAGCUGUUGUAUUAGAAUAAUCUGAGAGAACCUUUAAAAAUGCCCAUUCUCUAGCUUUUUCCAAAUAAUUUAAAUCAGAAUCUUGGGUAUUAGGAUCCCUAACAUUAGUGUUUUUUGAGCUUUCCAGUAGUUCUAAUAUGCAACAAGGUUUGCGAACCAGUGUUAUAAUUGAUAUAUGUAUUAUGUGUAUAUGUGUGUGUAUUUAUACAUAAAUACAUGUACACAGUUAUAUGUAGACAUAUACACAGUGUAUAUAAACAAAGCUUGAUGAUUUCAACACUUGUGGUAUUCCAUAUAUGGAUAGCAUUUGGAAUAUAAUUUGUGUUAUGCUUCCAUUGUUCUUUCUAAUGGUUGCUAGCAUUUUAUUUUUAGAUAGUAGACUAUUAAUGAUUUGCGUCACCUUCUGAGAGAUAUAAUAAUAAUCUUUGCACUGGAAUGAACUUUGGAAAUAAUCAGCUUCAACCUUCUUUUAUAGGUAAAGUGGUUAAAUGAUCAAGAAUGAAACAGAUUCUGUACAAACUCCUUAAGUCUUCAGAUAUCAUUACACCUUUCUUUAUCAUUACACCUUUCUUUUAAAGCCUUUCCAGAUAUAUUAUCUCGUUUGAUCCUUGCAAUUUCCUAAGUUAAUCAGACUUACUUUUAAUAAAAAGAAAAAUGUUAGCCAUACUGAUACUUACCAUUUUUCUUAAAGAGUUGAGAAGGCAUAGCAAGUGAGUGAGAGACUGAUUUAUUCUCCAAGUGGCCACAACAGCCAGUUCUGGGCCAAGUCAAUUUCAGGAUCCUUGAACUCCAUCCGGAUCUCUUAUGUGGGUAGCAGCACCCUAAGUACUUGGGCCAUGUCCUGGUGCCUUCCGAAGCAUAUUAGCGAAGAGCUGGAUGGGAAGGAGAGCAGUGAGGACUUGAACCACGACUCUGAUAAGGGAUGCUGACAUCAAGGCAGGGUUGCAAGCAGCAGCUGAACUCCGGCCCCUCGUUUUUCUUUUUUUAAAAUGAUAGUUACAGGCAUUUUACAGUGUUUUGCUGUUUCCUAGCUUGCUUAAGAUUCAUACUCGGCCGGCGCCGCGGCUCACUAGGCUAGUCCUCCGCCUUGUGUUGUCGGCACACCGGGUUCUAGUCCCGGUCGGGGCGCCAGAUUCUGUCCCGGUUGCCCCUCUUCCAGGCCAGCUCUCUGCUGUGGCCCGGGAGUGCAGUGGAGGAUGGCCCAAGUGCUUGGGAGACCAGGAGAAGCACCUGGCUCCUGCCAUCGGAUCAGCGCGGUGCGCCGGCUGCAGCACGCUGCCUGCGGUGGCCAUUGGAGAGUGAACCAACGGCAAAAGGAAGACCUUUCUCUCUGUCUCUCCCUCUCACUGUCCACUCUGCCUGUCAAAAAAAAAAAAAAAAAAAAAGGAAAAAAAAAGGAUUCAUACUUAAAAUCUUCUCUGUCUUUAGUAUUUUGUCGUUUCACUAUGAUGUGUCAGUAUAGGUUUGUUUUGUUUAGAACUUUGUUAGGUUCCUUGAAUCUGUGGAUUGGCAUCUCGUUUGUUCUGCAAAAUUCUCAGUUAUUACCUCUUUAAAUUUAUUUUCUGUUACAUUUUUGGGGUCUCUGUUACACGUAUCUUAGGCCCUUUUUCAUUUUUUGCUCUACAUUUUCUUUUCUUUCUUUCUUUUUUUAUUUUUUUAAGAUUUAUUUGUUUGAAAGGUAGAGUUAACAGACAGAGGUAGAGAGAGUGAGAGAGAGGUCUUCUGUCUGCUGAUUCACUCACCAAAUGGCCCAAACAACCAGAGCUGGGCGAGGCUGAAGCCAGGAGCCAGGAGCCAGGAGCUUCUUCUGGGUCUUCCACAUGGGUUCAGGGGCCCAAGGACUUGGACCAUCUUCUGCUUUCCAGACUCAUUAGUAGAGAGCUGGAUUGGAAGUGGAGCAGCUGGGACUUGAACUGUUGCCCAUAUGGGAUGCUGGUGCUGCAGGCUGGGGAUUUAACCCACUGCCCCACAGUGCUGCCCCCCACCCCUUUAA
This is a non-coding RNA of Oryctolagus cuniculus (rabbit), 7320 nucleotides long. Lineage: Eukaryota; Metazoa; Chordata; Mammalia; Lagomorpha; Leporidae. The record is from RefSeq and is a predicted model, not a curated record.